RNAcentral lists this ribosomal RNA (492 nucleotides) under uncultured bacterium. RNAcentral describes it as "partial 16S ribosomal RNA". It matches the Rfam family "Bacterial small subunit ribosomal RNA", at positions 29 to 507 of the family's 1533-position model. The record is from RNAcentral.
AGUGAACGCUGGCGGUAGGCCUAACACAUGCAAGUCGAACGGCAGCACCGUAAGAGCUUGCUCUUACGGGUGGCGCGUGGCGGACGGGUGAGGAAUACAUCGGAAUCUACUUUUUCGUGGGGGCUAACGUCGGGAAACUUACGCUAAUACCGCAUACGACCUACGGGUGAAAGCAGGGGAUCUUCGGACCUUGCGCGAUUGUAAGAGCCGAUGUCGGAUUAGCUAGAUGGCGGGGCAAAGGCCCACCAAGGCGACGAUCCGUAGCUGGUCCGACGGGGUGAUUCGCCACACUGGCACUGAGACACGGUCCAGACUCCUACGCUGGGCAGCAGUGGGGAAUAUUGCACGAUGGACGAAAGCCUGAUCCAGCCCUACCGCGUGGGUGAUGAAGGCCUUCUGGUUGGUAAGUGAUGUUGUUGGGAAAGAAAUACAGCAGGUUAAUACCGCACUGUUCUGACGGUACCCGAAGAAUAAGCACCGGCUAACUUCGUG